Molecule: long non-coding RNA, 6530 nt
Filed under: Homo sapiens (human)
Lineage: Eukaryota; Metazoa; Chordata; Mammalia; Primates; Hominidae
Description: non-protein coding SNHG5:33
Source: RNAcentral
CCUUUCCCGGAGUGCUGCGGCCAGGGCUCGCCCGCUCCUCCGGCGGCCUCCGCUGGGGGCCCACUACAGCCCAGCGCCAGCCAGCCAGCCAGCCCAGCUUCUCGAAUCGGUCCUAAGCUGAGGCCGCCCUGCGCUGCAAAACUUGUGUCCACUCUCGGACCCAAUCUGUCCUGGACGGACUUGGCUCGUGGCAGGCGAAAGCGUCGUUUCCAACUGCAGCUGUUUGAAUUCUGGCGCCACACCCGCGCCACGUAGGGCCAAGUCGGCCGCCAGACUCGUGCGAGAGGGCGGGACGGCCUCGUUCUGACUCCGGGAGGCUAUAUAAGGAGCUACUGGCUGCGCACUUCGGUCUUUUACGUCGGCCUUCGCGAGCGUCUGGGCGGGUGGUAGGUGAGUGGGUAUUGCGGGCUAGUAUCCGAGCAAAAGAUGGUGGCGCAGGCCGAGUUAAGAGCUUUAAUCCUGUGAAGACAUCUUAGUGAAGAGUUUAGAGUGCUGAGAGUUGAAAGCUUGCACGUGGGAAACGUGCGGCCGGACUGCCACAUGUACUGAGGUUGAGUCGUGACGGCCACAGGCUCCGAGUUUUGGCGUGAGGAACCGCUGAUCGGCCACGGGCGCCGAACUUGCUGGCCUCCGGCAUGUGCCUGAGCGGCGGCGGAAAAACCACCUUAAUUGGGGCGGAGGGUUAGUUUUAACAGCAAAGGGCCUUUACUAAAAUGGCGAAGGCCUUCCGUCGGCGUUGUUUUAAAAUGGGAAGCCUCGACCCUGUAUUGAAACUGAGCUGUUCGAAGGCGGCGUUGUGUGCAAUUCGGAUUAAUGAAGGGGAAGGGUUUUGUGUGGAAAAACGCCUUGGAGUGUGACAUUUCUGCGAGAAUGCUUAAAUACCGAUUUCCCGCAGGAACAAUGGCGCUGUCUUCAGUGGCACAGUGGAGCAGCUCUGAAGAUGCAAAGAUACACGAAAAAACUUCCAGAACAUCUGGGAGAAUAUUUAAUGGAAAAUCGCUUGGUUAAAACCUGACACUUUUAACAGUGAACAGCGUUCUGAGUGUGGACGAGUAGCCAGUGAAGAUAAUGAAUGUCGAAUGUGACUGACUAGCAGCUUCAUUUUGAAUGAGGGUCGCUGUCUGCCCAUUGAUAGAGGCCAGAUUGUCUUGGAAGUUCCAAAGUUGCAACGAUUUCUGGCUAGUGCCACGAGGUUUACUUGACUGUUGUGUGAAAAGCUGAUAAGAAAACCAUCCAGAAAAAAGCUCUUCGUUUUACAAACAUGAAAAUAAAACAUGUAAUUUUGGAUUAUGUUCCUUUUUGUUAUUACUUUUAAAUAGGUCCUGAAAUAACAUGGGGAGCAUUAAAUGGAAAAUCCACUAACCAGCCUUGUAAUCAAAUUACUGUGAGUGAAUGUUUCGGGUUUGUGCAGGGUACAAUGUAAGGGUUUUUGGAUCAGUGUAAGAGUGGAGAGACAGGAAUUAGAAGUAAUUGUUACUAAGCAAAUCAUGGAAUAUUUAGUUUUGAUGUAACUAUAAUUUUGAAAGCCUGGAUGCUUAAGUUGAGAAAUGGGGGAAUGAGAUACAGAAAAUAAGGAGCACAAUAGAAUAAUAAUAGCAGUUUAUUAAGUAUGGUCAUGAGGGAAGGUUACUGAUAAAACAAUCUGGUAAAGACAUUCAGGCUUGCUAAAAUCUAGGAAGAGGUCAUUUGGCAGGAUGGGUUACAUAAUGCUAUCUGAUACUACCAAAUAAAAUGAGAGAGAAGCCUUAGGCAUGUAACGUUUGGAGAUAGAAAAUGUACCUUCACUAUGAAGGUAGUGUGUGUAAGAUGGCAGUUGAAAGCAUUGCUUGUGUUUAUGUUUAUACCCUUGAUCUCUGAUGCCCUUACCUACCGUACUUAAAACUCUGUUAAUCAUUGUCUUUCUCCCCCUCCCACAACUUCUGCAUAAAAUUUUAAGAUCUGUGUUUCAUUAGUUCAAGAGUGCCUAGAAUAGGGCCAGGCACUGUUAUACAGUAUGUGGUAAAAGACUAUUGAGAUUCCAGUUUUCAAGGAAGAGUGCCAUUACCGUUUUGUUAAAGCUGGCAAACAAGACAAAGUUGUGAAAUAGACUGGUUGCUUUGGAGCCCUCUGACCGCUUUUCCUGUAGCUCCUUCUACCUCCCUUGCCUCCCAAUAGAUUUUUUAAUAUGUCACAUUAUCUAUCGAAAUUAGUACUCCACAUUUAUAUGCACUGGCUUGUGCUAGGCUCUGCCAAGACUCCUGAAAUAAAACCGUUUUGUCAACAGUGGCACAAGAUGCCAAGGAAAAGUCAAGCUAUGAAGGAUUCUUGAAAAUAGAACAAGUGGAUUUGAGUCUAAACCAGCACAGAUGUUGGGACAAUAGGCCUAAGAAAUAACUGAGCAAAGACAGUAUGGUUCAGAGUCUGAGACAAAUAUUGAGGAUUUGGGUACCAACAGGGUGGAUAGGUGUAGGACAGAAAACUGAUGUUAUAAAUACCCUUAAGAUUCUUGAGCAAGGAAGUUACAAAUGUAAGACUAUUCCUGUAAUGAGAGUCAGAUCCAAAAAGGUUUAAUUUGAAUGGAAUUGAACUUGAAAGUUCAGUUUCAAUUACUGACUCCUUGAUGGCAAUUUCUAAUCACACAGGAGGCUGUUAGUCUGUCAUAGCCUCCUAAAAUCUCAGGCGAUAUUGGUUAAGAUCAGUUUCCUAAGUUUACCCUCCAGAGCAUAGCUGCUGCUUGGGACCAGGUGCAGUGACUCAUGCCUGUAAUCCCAGCACUCUGCUUGAGCCCAGGAAGAGACCAGCCUGGAAACAGCAAGUUGUCAUCUCUAUAAAUAAGUAAAACUGGGUGUGGUAACAUGCGCUUGUUCCAGCUACUCGGGAGGCUGAGAUAGGAGGAUCACUUGAACCUAGGAGGUUGAAGCUACAAUCAGCCAUGAUUGCACCUCUGUCUUCUAUCCUGGGCAACAGACCAGGCUAAAAAAAAAAAAAAUCCUUAAGGAGCUUGACUAUAAUAGACUGGGAUAUGCUUGAUUCUGAUUGGUUUCAGAAGUUGAAAGAUAAUUUACGUGUCUGACUUUAGUGACUUCAGCCAACAGGAAUUUUUCCUCUGCCUUACACCAGGCUUCCAGGUAAUCUUAAAAUACAGUAAGCUCAAACCUACCAUUUGGUGCUUUCUAAAAUUAGUUCUAUUGCCAGAAACCCAAUAUCCACUGUGCUUGGCUCCCCAGUCAAGUGUCCUGUGAACUAACAUCAAUCCUCACUGCCCUGUGUAUAUGAAAGAGCUUUCAGCUGUUUUCAUGGUUUUUCUAACAGUUCCCCAGUUGGGAUUAGAGCCUUUGUUUGAAUCAGCCUACUAGAAUAACCUGCUUAUCUUUUGCCAGUCCUUUAAUAGGAGUGGGACCCUCCUUCCUGCCUUUUCAAAAGCUUGGUUCUGGAUCCAAACAAUACUUAUAGUACUUAGUUAUAGGUAUAUAUUAGUAUACAUGACUUAACUGUCUGAAUAUUGCCACUGCCUCUGAUCUUACUCCAUCCUGUAGAGUAACAUCUUGUAGAGAGCAUCUUGGGGCAGAAGAGGAUACAUUUUCAGUAUGAGAACCAGACUCCUUGUCUUACUCUCAUGAGUCCUGGUCUCCUCCUGGUACUACUAUUCCACUGCUGAGGUCUCAGCAUGCCAUAUAGCUGAGUUUGUCAGAGUUAAUGAGGGUUUAAUCAGAAUCCCAAAUCAAGUACAGUCCAGUCCAACCUAUUUGAGAACUUUAUCUUUCUUGUUACUUCAUUUAUUAUAGUUCACUUCAAAAGAGCAAUGGAAAAGGCACUUCAGAAUAUGCAAAAAAUGUAUCAUUUGAAGGCAAUAAUUUACAAAUAUGCAUUACUUCACUGAGAUCAGGAAACUUUUGUCCUUGCCUCCUGUAGUGAAUAUAACUGAUGUACAAAAAUGUGUACAUUUAAAAAGUAUACAAUUUGAUGGGUUUUUCAUAGGAAUAUACUCAUGAAACCAUCAACAUAAUCAAGAUAAUGACUAUAUCCAUCACUCCCAAAAAUAUUCUAUUGUUGGCUUGAUUUUGAACAUGUUAAGUUUAAAUAGCACAUGUUAUUCAAAUUGGGAUUUUUGAGUAGGCAGUUAGAUAUAGAGGUCCACAGUUCAGAGGAGAGGUCUGACUAAAAUAAAAUUGGGAGUUAACAUAUGGAAGGCAUAUUUAAAGCCAUAAGAUUAGAUGAGAUCACCAAUAGAGAAAAAAGUCCAAGAGUUGAACCCUGUGGCCUUUCAGGAUUAGGACAUUCCAGGUUUAUUCAAAUCCUAGAGAAUAAUUUGUGCCAAGGGACAAAAAUCAGGACGCAGGAAUCUGCUGCCAAGUUCAAGGGCCAUAUUUGUUAGGAACAGAAACUAAGUAGAAAACCAAGGAUGCCUGGAAUGAAAUGAGCCAAGAAAAAAGGAUAAGAACCAAGCAAAACUUGCUGGAAAUUGCCUUGGAUUUAAUAUAGACCAUUGGUCAACAUGAAAACUGAAGAUAGUGUCUGAUCAUGACUUUGCAAAGUAACAGACGAAGUGAUCUUCAGGAGAGAAUAAGAUGAGGAAUUUAGGAAGUAUGAUAAGGCUUUUUCAUCAGACACUGCAGAUUGGGAGAAAAUGGAGCUGACCAUGGACAAGUUAUAAAUUUGCCUAGCAUUGAUAAAGUAUCAGCUGAGGCUGAAAACCACCAAUUUUAACAAAAAUCAGCAUAUUUCUUCAGUAUUGUGUGGUGCUUAUCUCCUUGGGAGCAGAAAGCAGAGACUGGAUUAAUCCAAAAUCAGGGAUAAACUGACCAGGAGGAGCAGAGGAAUAAUGGGCCAAGAGUACUGAGGAUGCAAGUAAAAGUGCUCAAAUUACUGUAUUGACCUUGUAAUCCCAAGCUGAUCGGGGAAGGAAAAAAAAAAAACAGGAGAGGGCUGGAAAAUUGUCACAGGUAAUGACAGAGGAUCAGAUGUGCUAUAGAAAUGUGCUGUUGAAAAUGGUAGACUAAGCCCCUCUCCAAUUAUACUGUGGAAUGAGCCGUAUAACAUGUUGUGAUUAUUGGUUUCUCCCUUCUGGACCUGGAGUGUCAGUUCUUCUAAAGCAGAGACUUCCCUUUAAUCUCUGUUUAAACUUGGUGCCUAGGACAAUGUAAUGGCAUCCAUAAAAUAUCUAAUGGAAUGGAGUUUAACAUGUUUUUUAGGGUGGAACUGGUGGUGUGAUUUAAAUUCUCCAAAAGAGAAAUGAGAAAAGUUGGAAGCUGUUGUGGCCUGACUUUAUACCCCCAAAAUUCAUAUUUUGAAUACCCCAAAAAGAAGUAUAAUGUAAGUCCAGAAUCAUUACUGGUGAUGACGUUCAAAAGUCAGAAUUGAGAUAUACCCCAAAGAACACACCUUGCUAUUGCCCUAGAGAAGUUUAAUGUGUUUUAUGCCUAUGUUCCUAUUGAUGCAGUUAAAGUGACCAACUAUUAGCAACAAACCCCAAAUUGUCCUUUGUACAAAAAUAGUUGAUUAGGCCAGGUGCAGUAGCUCAUACCUGUAAACUCCCAGUACUUUGGGAGGCCAAAGUGGGAAGUUCGCUUGAAGCCAGGAAUUUGAGACCAGUGGGCAACAUAGCAAGCCCGUCUCUACAAAGUGUUAAAAAAUUAGCUGGGCUACUUGGAGGAUCUGGCUACGUGGUGGCUGAGAUGGGAGGAUUGCUUGAGCCCAGGAGUUCAAGACCGCAGUGAGCUAUGAUUGUGCCACUGCACUCUAGCUGGGCAAGAGUGAGACCCUUUCUCAAAAAAAAAAAAAGAAAAAGUUAUUUAAAGUUAUUUGCACUGUGUCUUUAUUAUGCUUAUAUCCAUAUUUUUCAUAACUGAAGGCCAUACCAUCAAUAAAAACACAUUGAGUACAUUAAAAAUAUGGAUAUGAGCAGUAACAAAAAUAUAGGCCAAAUAACAUCAUUAUUAUUAUCAUCAUUAAUUAUUUUAGAGACAGGUUCUCACUCUGUCACCCAGGCUGGAAUGCAGUGGCCUAAUCAUAGCUCACUGCCACCUUGAACUCUUGGGCUCAAGGGAUCCUCCCACUCAGCCUCCCAAAUAACCAGGAGAUCCUCUAGCAUGUGCCACCAAGCUCAGCUGAUUUGUAUUACUUUUUAUAGGGAUGGGGUGUCACUAUGUUUCCCAGGCUGCUCUUAAACUCCUGACCUCAAGUGAUCCUUCCACCUUGGCCUCCAAAAGUGCUGAGAUUACAAAUGUGAGUCUCCUCACCAAGAUGCUUUUUUUUUUUUUUUUAAGCAGUGAAAUGAGAGCUCACUGUGUAGCCCAAGCUGGUCUUGAACUCCAGACCUCAAGUGGUCUUCCUGCCUCAGCCUCCUGAGUAGCUGGGAUUAUUGAUGUGAGUGGCCACACCUAUACCAAAUAAUUUUAAUCAACCACUUUUUUUUUUUUUUUUAAGACAGAGUCGUGCUCUGUCGCCAGGCUGGAGUGCAGUGGUGCCAUCUCAGCUCACUGCAACCUCUGCCUCCCGGGUUCAAGUGAUUCUCCUGCCUCAGCCUCCUGAGUAGCUGGGACUACAGGCGC